UGAUGUGAGGGUGACCUGGCUGGGACAUCUGUCACCCCAUUGACCGCUAGGACUGAUUGGGCUGAUCUGGCUGGCUAGACAGGCAUUCCCGUCCUCCCUCAACUCUCAAUGUGUAUCCUUCCGAGAGCUGCAUGCUUGGUUGAAGAGGACAACCUUCCCCUUUAGAGGCAGACUGCUCUUCAGUCAAGGGCUACGAGUAGCUUCACCCCUGCUAGAACCUCCAAAAAAGUUCCCAAGGGCCUAAGAAGCAACUGGUGUUGAGCUGCAGGGACUGAGGUUAGAGACUAAGUCACAGUCCUC
This 300-nucleotide small nuclear RNA is filed under the name Ochotona princeps (American pika). RNAcentral describes it as "7SK RNA (ENSOPRG00000023259.1)". It matches the Rfam family "7SK RNA". Rfam says of the family: 7SK was discovered as an abundant small nuclear RNA in the mid-70s but a possible function has only recently been suggested. Two independent studies have found that 7SK RNA binds the CDK9/cyclin T complex (known as elongation factor P-TEFb). P-TEFb activates transcription by phosphorylating the C-terminal domain of RNA polymerase II. The record is from RNAcentral. Lineage: Eukaryota; Metazoa; Chordata; Mammalia; Lagomorpha; Ochotonidae.